Molecule: ribosomal RNA, 1372 nt
Filed under: uncultured bacterium
Lineage: Bacteria
Description: bacterial SSU rRNA
Rfam family: Bacterial small subunit ribosomal RNA
Source: RNAcentral
GAUGAACGCUGGCGGCGUGCCUAAUACAUGCAAGUCGAGCGAACGGACGAGAAGCUUGCUUCUCUGAUGUUAGCGGCGGACGGGUGAGUAACACGUGGAUAACCUACCUAUAAGACUGGGAUAACUUCGGGAAACCGGAGCUAAUACCGGAUAAUAUUUUGAACCGCAUGGUUCAAAAGUGAAAGACGGUCUUGCUGUCACUUAUAGAUGGAUCCGCGCUGCAUUAGCUAGUUGGUAAGGUAACGGCUUACCAAGGCAACGAUGCAUAGCCGACCUGAGAGGGUGAUCGGCCACACUGGAACUGAGACACGGUCCAGACUCCUACGGGAGGCAGCAGUAGGGAAUCUUCCGCAAUGGGCGAAAGCCUGACGGAGCAACGCCGCGUGAGUGAUGAAGGUCUUCGGAUCGUAAAACUCUGUUAUUAGGGAAGAACAUAUGUGUAAGUAACUGUGCACAUCUUGACGGUACCUAAUCAGAAAGCCACGGCUAACUACGUGCCAGCAGCCGCGGUAAUACGUAGGUGGCAAGCGUUAUCCGGAAUUAUUGGGCGUAAAGCGCGCGUAGGCGGUUUUUUAAGUCUGAUGUGAAAGCCCACGGCUCAACCGUGGAGGGUCAUUGGAAACUGGAAAACUUGAGUGCAGAAGAGGAAAGUGGAAUUCCAUGUGUAGCGGUGAAAUGCGCAGAGAUAUGGAGGAACACCAGUGGCGAAGGCGACUUUCUGGUCUGUAACUGACGCUGAUGUGCGAAAGCGUGGGGAUCAACCAGGAUUAGAUACCCUGGUAGUCCACGCCGUAAACGAUGAGUGCUAAGUGUUAGGGGGUUUCCGCCCCUUAGUGCUGCAGCUAACGCAUUAAGCACUCCGCCUGGGGAGUACGACCGCAAGGUUGAAACUCAAAGGAAUUGACGGGGACCCGCACAAGCGGUGGAGCAUGUGGUUUAAUUCGAAGCAACGCGAAGAACCUUACCAAAUCUUGACAUCCUUUGACAACUCUAGAGAUAGAGCCUUCCCCUUCGGGGGACAAAGUGACAGGUGGUGCAUGGUUGUCGUCAGCUCGUGUCGUGAGAUGUUGGGUUAAGUCCCGCAACGAGCGCAACCCUUAAGCUUAGUUGCCAUCAUUAAGUUGGGCACUCUAAGUUGACUGCCGGUGACAAACCGGAGGAAGGUGGGGAUGACGUCAAAUCAUCAUGCCCCUUAUGAUUUGGGCUACACACGUGCUACAAUGGACAAUACAAAGGGCAGCGAAACCGCGAGGUCAAGCAAAUCCCAUAAAGUUGUUCUCAGUUCGGAUUGUAGUCUGCAACUCGACUACAUGAAGCUGGAACCGCUAGUAAUCGUAGAUCAGCAUGCUACGGUGAAUACGUUCCCGGGUCU